GCCGCCCGUUUAGCUCAGUUGGUAGAGCAUGAGACUCAAUCUCUCAGGGUCGUGGGUUUGAACCCCACUCUGGGCGGCA
This is a non-coding RNA of Toxotes jaculatrix (banded archerfish), 79 nucleotides long. NCBI's taxonomy places the organism in Eukaryota, Metazoa, Chordata, Actinopteri, Toxotidae. The record is from the annotation of a RefSeq genome assembly.